UACGUAGGGGGCAAGCGUUGUCCGGAAUCAUUGGGCGUAAAGAGCGUGUAGGCGGCUCGGUAAGUCCGCUGUGAAAGUCCAGGGCUCAACCCUGGAAUGCCGGUGGAAACUGUCGAGCUAGAGUCCGGAAGAGGCGAGUGGAAUUCCUGGUGUAGCGGUGAAAUGCGCAGAUAUCAGGAGGAACACCGAUGGCGAAGGCGGCCAACUGGCCCGAUACUGACGCUCAUGUGCGAAAGCGUGGGGAGCAAACAGG
RNAcentral lists this ribosomal RNA (253 nucleotides) under uncultured bacterium. RNAcentral describes it as "partial 16S ribosomal RNA". It matches the Rfam family "Bacterial small subunit ribosomal RNA", at positions 524 to 776 of the family's 1533-position model. The record is from RNAcentral.